This is a non-coding RNA of Bombyx mori (domestic silkworm), 86 nucleotides long. The record is from Rfam. NCBI's taxonomy places the organism in Eukaryota, Metazoa, Arthropoda, Insecta, Lepidoptera, Bombycidae.
UUAACUCAACUUUUUGUAUGGAGUCGGAACGUUUGCCUACGUUUGCCGCUAGGGGCGCUGUUCCAACUGCAUACAAAUUUGAGUUA